AAAGAUUAUCUUAAUGCAUCUGCCAAAACCAUGAGAUGCGUAGAACACCCAACUUAUAUUACUCCAACCCUCCCCGCCAUUUCCAAACACUGCCAACAUCCAUCUUUCGAGGUGGAGAUACAGUCCAAAGAGAGCCAUGGGAGUUGCCAUUAGGAUCAUGAGGAGAUCCAUCAAUGCCUUCUUCCAUGACUACCACUGUUUCACCUCCAUUGCUAUUCUCCUUGUCUUCCCUGCUUCAGCCUCCCUCCUCCUUUCCCAGGCACCAAUCCCUUACUCCACGACAGUCCUCGAGACCAUCUCGUCCCGCCUGCGGUCGCUGUUCCAGGCCGCGAGGUUUCCCGUCACCUCCACAUUCUUCUCCCUUCUCAACGUGAAGCUCGCACAAACGGGCUUCUCCUUCGUCUUCACGCUGCCGUUCGUCCUCACCUUCUUGCUCCUCGCAAAAGCAUCCAUAAUUCACAACGUCUGCGGCGGCCCUCGCCGCAAACGAGCCCCGCCUCGCCUCUCUUCGGCCCUCCGCCUCUACCGCUCGAUCCUCCCGACGCACCUCUUCAACUCCUGCCUCGUUCUGUCCGCCAACGCCAGCGUUUUCGCCUUCUUGUCCGUCGUGUCCAACGCAGUGGACGUUCUCGGCCUCUCGACGAGCAACUCCAUGCUUGUUCUCUCUGCCGCUGGUGCUGUUCUCUACUCCAUCGUCGUUGCCAACACGACGGUGAUCUGCAGCCUGGCGAUCGUCGUCUCUGCGACGGACAACUGCCGCGGCUACAUCCCAGUCCUCAAGGCCUGCAUGCUCAUCAGGGGAAGGGUCAAGACUGCGUUAUCCCUGGCCUUGUCUGCCAACCUGGGAGUGGCCGCAGUUGAAGCUUUGUUUCAGUAUAGGGUGGUGAGGCAAUACGAUCUUUCGGGGAAAAUGAAUUCAUCUCUUCUCUGGGAGGCACUCUACAUCUCUUACGUCCAUGCUCUCCUUGUUGCACUCGAGGUGAUCAUGAACUGCAUGUUCUUCAAGAGCUGUCAAACAGAUUGCUGCUCCAACUGGAAGAAUGGGUAUGACCGUCAAGAAAAGUUAGAACCAGAAGAGAGCUUAUGAUUCCCAUGCUUUGGAAUAAAUGUUGUCAAGCUAAGAUCAAAUUCCCGUAAUGGUUAAGCGAUAGUUUGCCUCAAAGGAAUUGAUGUUCCAUAUGUUUUUUCCUGUUCAUAAGGUGUCAGCUCGAGACAUUUAAUGGAAACAGCAAAGCAGCUCAGGGCGCAGAUGUUGUGAACGGCUCAGCAAUCCUACAAAACUCCUGUUUGUACUAGUGUGCUUGAUACCCUGGAAUCCUGAAUGCCAAGCCUGACUUGUUAGAGCAACUCAGAGUUCCGUAGCAUCAGGGUUGAGACAUGGAAGACUGGAUUGAUCGAACACAACAACUUGCAUAUACUCUGUAAUCACCAUAUAGUCCAUGAGGAUAGAAAAGAAGCUUGCCCUGUUCUUGGAUCACCAAGCCAUGGAGUCUCCAGCAAUCAGAAAAGAAGCAACAAUGACAGUAUAAAACCAAGAACAUAGUUGGAUUUAGAAGAUGAAGAUUGCUCUAUGGCAGAUGUCGGAUUCGUCUUUAAAUUUCUGCGUAGCAAACUACACCAGUAACAGAGCCUUGCGGCAAGGAAUCCAAUGAAAGAUAAUAGUAGGAUUUAAAGAUGAAUGAGCUCUUCACAAAGUUAGAGAGAAGCUUAAUAUGUACUCGUAAUAUAAUCGACAAAUCUCCAUAUCA
RNA transcript from Musa acuminata AAA Group (dessert banana), 1748 nucleotides. RefSeq lists it as uncharacterized. The transcript is spliced from 2 exons. The record is from RefSeq and is a predicted model, not a curated record. Lineage: Eukaryota; Viridiplantae; Streptophyta; Magnoliopsida; Zingiberales; Musaceae.